Molecule: long non-coding RNA, 306 nt
Filed under: Bos mutus (wild yak)
Lineage: Eukaryota; Metazoa; Chordata; Mammalia; Artiodactyla; Bovidae
Description: lncRNA (ENSBMUG00000014098.1)
Source: RNAcentral
GCCUGGCUUGUGCAUCAGAACUACCGGCAGAUCAUUUGUAAGAAAAGGCUCUGCUUUUCCCUCGUCUCAGGGAUUCACACUCCGGAGCACCUUGGGGAACUUGGAGCCACUGACGAAAGUAAUGCCUGAGAGAGUGGCAUCAGCAGCCGCAGCGAAGCUGGUCCAGGAAAAGGAAGGAAGGAAGCCUGUUCCUUUAAAAGCUGAAACUUUAACUUGCACCUAAUUCUGAACAGAAAGUGAGACGACAUUAGUUAUCUUCUCAAACUCCAGAGCAUAGUAUAUCUUCAAAGAGGCCCUUCUGCCUAU